This 497-nucleotide ribosomal RNA is filed under the name uncultured bacterium. RNAcentral describes it as "partial 16S ribosomal RNA". It matches the Rfam family "Bacterial small subunit ribosomal RNA", at positions 28 to 507 of the family's 1533-position model. The record is from RNAcentral.
GAUGAACGCUGGCGGCAUGCUUAAUACAUGCAAGUCGAGCGAACAGACGUGUAGCUUGCUGCUUUGGCGUUAGCGGCGGACGGGUGAGUAACACGUGGAUAACCUACCCAUCAGACUGGGAUAACUUCGACAAACCGGAGCUAAUACCGGAUAACAGGUUGAACCGCAUGGUGCAACAGUGAAAGACGGGCUUGCUGUCACUGAUAGAUGGAUCCGCGCCGCAGUAGCUGGUUGGUAAGGUAACGGCUUACAAAGGCAACGAUACGUAGCCGACCUGGGAGAUUGAUAGGCCACACUGGAACUGGGAGACGGUCCAGACUCCUACGGGAGGCAGCAGUAGGGAAUCUUCCGCAGUGGGAGAAAGCAUGUCGGAGCAAUGCCGCGUAAGUGGAGAAGGUCUUCGGAUCGUAAAACUCUGUUAUUAGGGAAGAACAAAUGUGUAAGUAACUAUGCACGUAUUGACGGUACCUAAUCAGAAAGCAACGGCUAACUCCGUG